GAGUGAGAUGUUUCCUGGGAAGGUGCGAUGGGGUGGCAGGGCCUUGUAGGCUCUUCGAGGAUUUCGGCUCCUCACUGAGACUCAAGGGAGCCACUGCGGUUUGGCGCAGAGAAGUAACACGAUCCAUCCAACUCUGUUGAGUAAAGAGGAAAGAAACAGCCAUCUGUUUAUUUGCUUCCUUCUCUUGAAGUCUUCCCUCCCCACCAUCGCUACCCAGCGCCAGUUCUUAAGCUACGCUCGUGUUCCCUAACCACAUCCUCUUCCAGUGGGCUGCUGCUCUUUGCCUUGGUGAUGAUGUUACCCAAACCAGGUGCAGUCAAGCCUCAACUUUGAGGAGAGUGAAAUAUUUUCACUUUCGUUUGACCUUCUUCUCAGUCACGUCCAAUUCCAAGUCCCUGGGACACCAGCAGAGACCUCAAUGUCAUCAGGUCAAACAGCCGGAACUGUCUGGCUCGGAUCAAGCAUGUGUUCCUUCUACAUUAGUGUCUUAUUGAUUACAGUGCGUUCUGUCUUUGCGAGGGAGGUUGAAAAGGAUAGUCAGAAAUGAUUACUGUUUUGGAUGGUUUAGUGAUUAUAAUUUAUUUUGGGAUUUCCAAUAAUAUUAAAGGGAAAAUUUGUGAUUUUUAAAUUUAUCAAAAGUGGCCACAGCUUUAUAAAAGACAGAGAAACACUAUUAUCAGAGGAUUAUGUAUUAUUUGGUGUUGUCUGGUUCUUUUCAUGCUUCCAUCCCAUGUAAAGAUUUAUGGUCAUUUGUGGUCAGUAGUAUGUUACAAUCGCUUCUUUUUUUUUUUUUUUUUUUUUGUAAAUAUAGUGGGAAUAACUUCCUUGUUCCACUUGCAAGAUGAAACCUUUGUUGAUGGAGUGAGUGUCAGGGAAGAGAGGGAGAGAGUUUGGGAUUUUAUUGUUUAAUUAAACUUCUUAUUUUCAAAUCAUUGUAGACUUGCAUGUAAUUGUAAGAAAUAAUACAGAGAUAUAUCGUGUAUCCUUGUACCAAGUUUCUCUCAGUAACGACAUCUUGAAAAAAACCAUAGUACAAUAUCAGGACCAAGAUAUUGGUGUUGAUACAGUCAAGAUGCAGAACAUUUCCAUAGCUACGGGGAUCCCUC
RNAcentral lists this long non-coding RNA (1106 nucleotides) under Equus caballus (horse). RNAcentral describes it as "lncRNA (ENSECAG00000057342.1)". The record is from RNAcentral. Lineage: Eukaryota; Metazoa; Chordata; Mammalia; Perissodactyla; Equidae.